Molecule: ribosomal RNA, 254 nt
Filed under: uncultured bacterium
Lineage: Bacteria
Description: partial 16S ribosomal RNA
Rfam family: Bacterial small subunit ribosomal RNA (bases 1-203)
Source: RNAcentral
UGAGGAACAUGACCUUCGGCGGGGGAUAGCCGGCCCAACGGCCGGGUAAUACCGCGUACGACCACAUGGGGACAUCCCUGAGUGGUGAAAGCAGCAAUGCGCCGAUGGAGUGCCUCGCGGCCUAUCAGCUAGUUGGUGAGGUAACGGCUCACCAAGGCGACGACGGAUAGCGUGGUCUGGAGGAGGUAGUCGGACCACGCCACUAGUUCGGGACUGAACGACCGACCCGGCCCAACGUAUACCCGGUAACGGGG